Long non-coding RNA from Esox lucius (northern pike), 590 nucleotides. The record is from Ensembl. Lineage: Eukaryota; Metazoa; Chordata; Actinopteri; Esociformes; Esocidae.
GUUUUAAUAAAAUGGUGUUUGAACAGAACAUGUAAUUCAUUUAUUUACAAUGGACUAAAGACGGCGAAUUGCGGUUAAUUACUCCACAUUAACGGAAGAAGCGGGACCGGCUUACGUUUUAAAAGCAAGUGCAACAAAGGCCGUAGCUGCAAGCAGGAGGGACAUUGCUGCGACUGGUGGGGAAUGAGUAUGACAAGAAGUUCUCCCCUACAAUUAAGGAUUGCAGCAAUUGUCUGAGAAACAUCGCUGUCAGGGGGAGACAGUGACCUAGUUGCAGGUCCUACCAUGUCUAAUAUACCAUCUACUUGUGGUCAGGUUAAAGGUAAACAGAUUAGUAAUUUCAUUUUAAACAGUGUUGUCACAAUCUUGUCUUCAUCUCUUUAUAUGACAUAUCAGACAUAUGACAUAUGGAGUACCCAACAGGCCAUUUUAUGAAGCACCCAACAGGCCAUUUUAUGGAGCACCCAACAGGCCAUGUUAUGGAGUACCCAACAGGCCAUGUUAUGGAGUACCCAACAGGCCAUGUUAUGGAGUACACAACAGGCCAUGUUAUGGAGUACCCAACAGGCCAUGUUAUGAAGUACUCAACA